UUUGGUUCUGUUUCUACUAUACAGGUGCAUCAGUGCUACAAGCCGGCAUGGCUGCUUUCUUUUCUUGUGUACUUUCCUUUCUUUUGUCUUUGCCUGAUUGACAUUGUGUUACUCAUGUUCUGCCCAAUUAGUUUUGCAGGUGCUUAAUCUUGGUGUGGAUUGAGGCAUCACAAUUUUGUUAGGCUAGGGUAUUCAAGGUACGUGCAUUAGGCCCUCGUUUCUUUUACUUAAGUUUUUUUAGAUGUCUAUCAUUUAGUUUGAUGGUGUGCAUGGAUUGUUUGAUGUCACUUGGGUUCAGGGUUGCUAUAUUGGGAAAAAAAGGAUGACGCAUGACACAAUUUAGGUGUACAUUUAUUUCAUAGAUUAGAUAGAGUUGUAUAUUGGUGAUGCGUUAUGACUGGUUUGCUGCAUCUGUAGUAAUAGAAUAGGGCGCACCUCUUCGUCAACCAUCCUUUGGUGCUUCCCACGUUGUCUUUUUUGUUCUUAUCGAUGCUGCAUAGAAGCUGCUGACCUUUCUCUGUUUUCUUUCUUGGUUGGAUUCACAGAUCAGGACACACAUCAUGGUGAGCUCCUUGGUCAUCAGCUGAUCCAUCACCGAGGUAUGUAUUCACCACUGACUUCUGAUCAUAUGGAUUCUCCUUAUAAUCUAGAGAUUACAGUUCUUCAGAAAAACUGUAUUAUCGAGUCGCGAGGUGCCGCUUGCUGUUAGACUAGCUGGAGAUGUGGUCCUCAACUAAUGCAAUGCGAGUAUGUGACGAUGACUUUGGCAUACGGAUGUUGUUGUUCCAACUUGAAUUUCAAAGAUACUUGAGAGGAAUUUCACCAGUUCCUGGGAUAAUUUGAUAUUUUGACGUGCUUUGGUAACUCUAUAUAUGUGUUUAAGUCGUAAGUCUGGUGGUUUCGUAGUUACUAUCCUCCCUCGAGGGCAGUGCUUGUGUUAGACAUUUUUGGGAUGCCACCCUUUGUAUUUCCGUGGGGAAAGAUAGAAGGAACAUAUAUUAAUGGAUUAUGACUGUAGUUAUUAGUUUGCGUGGGUUGGAUGUUUCGCGUAUUUGGUGUUUUUGCUCCUGGAUUGUGAAAUAUUUAUUUUGUUGAAUGUUUUCCCUUAUACUGGAUUAUGUUAUCACAUGAAGCAAAUGCUCAUUCCCCCCAUUUUUCUUGUAUUAUAUGUGUCCUUCCUUUUAGGCUUCAGGCGUUGCAAGCCAGACAUGAGUAUCUUGUUCAUUUGCACUGCUAAUUUUAUGAUUUUCUACUACAGAUGGAAAAUUUAUUCUCUAGGGGAUUGACGAACCAUUAAUCUAAUAGAACUGAUACAUGUAUAUGUAAGUAGAAUUGUGAAACUUGGAGCAAAGCUUGGCUGCUUGCAGCACUCUGUUUACCUUCUGUUGACUCUCCAUUUCAUUCUGCUACAGUUAAAUUCUGCCAUCCAAUAAAUGUGUCUUUGUUUCAGAAAAUAAGCAGUGCAUCAUACCAUAUUGUAGCACAUUUACCUAUAGCUCAUUGUCUAUGCCAUUCUUAUUAUGUUAUAAAGGGAAAUAAUCAACUAUUAGAUGACCUAGAGUAUGUAUUCUGGACACAAUCUACCCGUGUAGAUCUUUUUAUGUUGAGUUAUAAAUCAAUUGCCUGAUUUUAUUGUUCUUUUCACCCUUGAUGUAUAAAGGAUAUUUAACUUGUAAGAUUUCUAAGAUAUGCCAUUAGUAACGAGAUUGUUUGCUUUGCAUGCAUAUUGCUCAGUUGCACACUAAGGGAAAGAAAUUAGUUUUGUUUCUGAAAUUCUUCCAUUUUGUAAUAGGUUUUAAAUUUUAAAUCAAAGUUCCGUCAAGCAAAUAUAUUACUAAUGUGCCGAUUGCUUGCUUAGUAAUAAGUGUUUUUCAAUAGAAUGGCCCUUGUGACCAGAACUGAAAUUAUUUAGUUGUUACAUUCUCAUAUAGGCUCUGUUUCAAAUAGUAUAAGAAUGAUAUGCACUGUGUUUGGCAGGAUGUGUUGCCAGCAAUGUAAGUCGCCAUCAUGAGACCUGGCUUCUCCCCCAGCCUUCUCUUCUUGUUGACAAGGCUCGACGCUGCGCCUCCUUGCGACCCCUGUGGCGAUGCACGGCGCUGCUACUCCCCUAGGACUCAUCUAGAUGGUUUUUUCCCUAAAUUUUUCACAUCCUUCAGAUAAACUUUUCUUACUGAUUUUUUUUACUGUUUGUUGGUAACUGAUGUUUUAAAGUUGAAGCAGCCAAUGUUUUACAGAUCGAUAUGUACCCUCUGUACUGAAUAAAUGGGUGUCUCAAUAGAUGGAUUGGGUCAAAGUAUGUAUAUAUACCACACUUGAGGUCAGUUGUGUUUUCUCAGGUUUGAAUGAUGACUGUUUUCAGAAACUUCUUCCGAAUCUAGGUCAUAGGCUGCGACUGAAGAUGCAACAACAUACCUCAUUCUGCUAUGAUGUUAGCUUCCUGCUUUAGUUACCAGGCAAAAUUUCUUGCGCUUUGUGCCUUCGUGUUUCUCGUUCACAGCUGAAUGAUGAUUGGGGAAUUCCUUUUAAAUGUGGUUAACAAUAAGGAUGCAAUCGCCUAUAAUUAGCUUGCUUUUCUAUUGCUAAGUAACUUUCUUAUGCCAUCAUUUUCCGAGUAUUUUUAUGUUGCAGGUAUCUUGUCCAGAGCCAAUGGAGACAAGCAACACCAUGCUGCUGCUAUAUCUUAAUGGUCUUUCUUUCACAAUAGUGAUGUACUUUUUAUACGUUAGGCAGUGGUAACCUUCCUUCUUUUGAUGAUGUUAUACUACUUAGUUUUGGCAUACACCAAUGUACCAGCUUACUUCUGUUUCACUUAUUUUGCACUUAGCCGAGCUUGUUACUUUGAAUCUCAUGCAAUACCAUUACAUAGUA
RNAcentral lists this long non-coding RNA (2868 nucleotides) under Triticum aestivum (bread wheat). RNAcentral's name for it is "long non-coding RNA (TAES_LNC009420)". The record is from RNAcentral. Lineage: Eukaryota; Viridiplantae; Streptophyta; Magnoliopsida; Poales; Poaceae.